This 458-nucleotide ribosomal RNA is filed under the name uncultured bacterium. RNAcentral describes it as "partial 16S ribosomal RNA". It matches the Rfam family "Bacterial small subunit ribosomal RNA", at positions 338 to 794 of the family's 1533-position model. The record is from RNAcentral.
CCUACGGGGGGCUGCAGUGAGGAAUAUUGGUCAAUGGGCGCGAGCCUGAACCAGCCAAGUCGCGUGAGGGAAGACGGUCCUAUGGAUUGUAAACCUCUUUUGUCGGGGAGCAAAAGACGCCACGCGUGGCGUUCCGAGAGUACCCGAAGAAAAAGCAUCGGCUAACUCCGUGCCAGCAGCCGCGGUAAUACGGAGGAUGCGAGCGUUAUCCGGAUUUAUUGGGUUUAAAGGGUGCGCAGGCGGAAGAUCAAGUCAGCGGUAAAAUCUAGAGGCUCAACCUCUUCGAGCCGGUGAAACUGGGUUGCUUGAGCGAGCGAGAAGUAUGCGGAAUGCGUGUUGUAGCGGUGAAAUGCAUAGAUAGCACGAAGAACUCCGAUUGCGAAGGCAGCAUACCGGGGCGCAACUGACGCUCAUGCACGAAAGUGUGGGUAUCGAACAGGAUUAGAUACCCUUGUAGU